GGGUGAGUAACACGUGGGUAACCUGCCCAUAAGACUGGGAUAACUCCGGGAAACCGGGGCUAAUACCGGAUAAUAUUUUGAACUGCAUGGUUCGAAAUUGAAAGGCGGCUUCGGCUGUCACUUAUGGAUGGACCCGCGUCGCAUUAGCUAGUUGGUGAGGUAACGGCUCACCAAGGCAACGAUGCGUAGCCGACCUGAGAGGGUGAUCGGCCACACUGGGACUGAGACACGGCCCAG
Molecule: ribosomal RNA, 237 nt
Filed under: uncultured Bacillus sp.
Lineage: Bacteria; Bacillati; Bacillota; Bacilli; Caryophanales; Bacillaceae
Description: partial 16S ribosomal RNA
Rfam family: Bacterial small subunit ribosomal RNA
Source: RNAcentral